Molecule: ribosomal RNA, 409 nt
Filed under: uncultured bacterium
Lineage: Bacteria
Description: bacterial SSU rRNA
Rfam family: Bacterial small subunit ribosomal RNA
Source: RNAcentral
CCAUGCCGCGUGUGUGAAGAAGGCCUUCGGGUUGUAAAGCACUUUCAGUAGGGAGGAAGGUAGUGUAGUUAACACCUGCACUAUUUGACGUUACCUACAGAAGAAGCACCGGCUAACUCCGUGCCAGCAGCCGCGGUAAUACGGAGGGUGCGAGCGUUAAUCGGAAUUACUGGGCGUAAAGCGCAUGCAGGCGGCCUGUUAAGUCAGAUGUGAAAGCCCGGGGCUUAACCUCGGAAUUGCAUUUGAAACUGGCAGGCUAGAGUCUUGUAGAGGGGGUAGAAUUUCAGGUGUAGCGGUGAAAAUGCGUAGAGAUCUGAAGGAAUACCAGUGGCGAAGGCGGCCCCCUGGACAAAGACUGACGCUCAGAUGCGAAAGCGUGGGGAGCAAACAGGAUUAGAUACCCUGGUAG